UACGUAGGGUGCAAGCGUUAAUCGGAAUUACUGGGCGUAAAGCGUGCGCAGGCGGUUUUGUAAGUCUGACGUGAAAUCCCCGGGCUGAACCUGGGAAUGGCAUUUGGGACUGCAAGGCUGGAGUGUGGCAGAGGAGACUGGAAUUCCUGGUGUAGCAGUGAAAUGCGUAGAUAUCAGGAGGAAUACCGAUGGCGAAGGCAGGUCUCUGGGCUGACACUGACGCUCAUGCACGAAAGCGUGGGGAGCAAACAGG
This 253-nucleotide ribosomal RNA is filed under the name uncultured bacterium. RNAcentral describes it as "partial 16S ribosomal RNA". It matches the Rfam family "Bacterial small subunit ribosomal RNA", at positions 524 to 776 of the family's 1533-position model. The record is from RNAcentral.